UACGUAGGGUGCAAGCGUUAAUCGGAAUUACUGGGCGUAAAGCGUGCGCAGGCGGUUAUGCAAGACAGAUGUGAAAUCCCCGGGCUCAACCUGGGAACUGCAUUUGUGACUGCAUGGCUAGAGUGCGGCAGAGGGGGAUGGAAUUCCGCGUGUAGCAGUGAAAUGCGUAGAUAUGCGGAGGAACACCGAUGGCGAAGGCAAUCCCCUGGGCCUGCACCGACGCUCAUGCACGAAAGCGUGGGGAGCAAACAGG
This 253-nucleotide ribosomal RNA is filed under the name uncultured bacterium. Its description in RNAcentral is "partial 16S ribosomal RNA". It matches the Rfam family "Bacterial small subunit ribosomal RNA", at positions 524 to 776 of the family's 1533-position model. The record is from RNAcentral.